RNAcentral lists this ribosomal RNA (468 nucleotides) under uncultured bacterium. RNAcentral's name for it is "partial 16S ribosomal RNA". It matches the Rfam family "Bacterial small subunit ribosomal RNA", at positions 28 to 507 of the family's 1533-position model. The record is from RNAcentral.
GACGAACGCUGGCGGCGUGCUUAACACAUGCAAGUCGAACGGAAAGGCCCUGCUUUUGUGGGGUUCUCGAGUGGCGAACGCGUGAGUAACACGUGAGUAACCUGCCCUUGACUUUGGGAUAACUUCAGGAAACUGGGGCUAAUACCGGAUAGGAGCUCCUGCUGCAUGGUGGGGGUUGGAAAGUUUCGGCGGUUGGGGAUGGACGCGCGGCUAAUCAGCUUGUUGGUCGGGUAGGGGCUUACCAAGGCUUUGACGGGUAGCCGGCCUGAGAGGGUGACCGGCCACAUUGGGACUAAGAGACGGCGCAGACGGCUACGGGAGGCAGUAGUGGGGAGUAUGGCACAAUCGGCGGAAGCCUGAUGCAGCAACGCCGCGUGCGGGAUGACGGCCUGCGGGUUGAAAACCGCUUUAGCCUGUGACGAAGCGUGAGUGACGGUAAUGGGUAAAGAAGCACCGGCUAACUACGUG